UACGUAGGUGGCAAGCGUCGUCCGGAUUUACUGGGUGUAAAGGGCGUGUAGCCGGGCUGACAAGUCAGAUGUGAAAUCCGGGGGCUCAACCCCUGAACUGCAUUUGAAACUGUUGGUCUUGAGUAUCGGAGAGGCAGGCGGAAUUCCUAGUGUAGCGGUGAAAUGCGUAGAUAUUAGGAGGAACACCAGUGGCGAAGGCGGCCUGCUGGACGACAACUGACGGUGAGGCGCGAAAGCGUGGGGAGCAAACAGG
RNAcentral lists this ribosomal RNA (253 nucleotides) under uncultured bacterium. RNAcentral describes it as "partial 16S ribosomal RNA". It matches the Rfam family "Bacterial small subunit ribosomal RNA", at positions 524 to 776 of the family's 1533-position model. The record is from RNAcentral.